This 85-nucleotide transfer RNA is filed under the name Planctomycetaceae bacterium. RNAcentral's name for it is "tRNA-Leu". It matches the Rfam family "tRNA". From Rfam's summary of the family: Transfer RNA (tRNA) molecules are approximately 80 nucleotides in length. Their secondary structure includes four short double-helical elements and three loops (D, anti-codon, and T loops). Lineage: Bacteria; Pseudomonadati; Planctomycetota; Planctomycetia; Planctomycetales; Planctomycetaceae. The record is from RNAcentral.
GCCGGAGUGGCGGAAUGGCAGACGCGAUGGAUUCAAAAUCCAUUGGGCAUCACAGCUCGUGUGGGUUCGAGUCCCACCUCCGGUA